GCACACAGAACCAAUAACCUUGAUGUUAAAAAAAAAAACAAAAGGUAAUUUAUAACUGAUAAUACAAAGGAAGUCGUAACAAGAAUACAACAGAUGAACGAUAAAAUUGUUGCUGUAACUAAAACUAUGGGAUAGGAAGAGUAACCAAAAAUAGUUGAAGAAAACUUUAAUAAAAAAUUCCUAUCAAAUGAUGCCAGAAACUCUGAGGGAGGACAGCACCACAAAAAUAAGCCAAAGCAGCAUGAAGUACACACUCGUUACCCAGGCCCAAAUCCUUGGCCCUCCAAGCUCUGCACCCAGGGUCAGACGCCUGUACACAAGAACAGCAAUACAGCCCACAGAAGUAGCAAAGAAAACAAGCAAUGAGAAGCUGAGUCCCGCAGCAUUCUCAAUCCGCAAGGGUUCCCUAUACAUAAAGAAAUUGUAGGCAGUGUCUACAAGCCAGGGCACUCCGAUGCCCACAUAUAUGUUCACUGAAUUGCUGCAAGUGAUGUUUGCAAUGGCAGAAUCUGCUGUUGUUUGGCGUUCAGCAGCAAUCUUACUUGCCACCAAGUCUGGCCAUGAAGUCCCACUAGCUAAUGCCGUAAAUGCAAUGACAUAAGCAUUUAUUCCUGAAAGAAAACAUACCACAUGGGUAGUGAGGGAUUAAAAGUGACCAGGUGGUUACAAGCCUAAUCAUCAACUCUAGAAAUGGAAAUUUGCAACUUUAUUUGCAAAGAGAAGGGUAACCUGUGACGCAGCUUAUAAGAUCUGUGAGCUUUGUUACAAUGUAGGCUAUCCCACUAAUAAAAAGAAGAGAGCAAAUAAAAGCAAUCCAUCCAUGAGCAAUACGACAAGGAGGCACAAAAGCAAACAAAAGUCUCCAAGGUGCAAGUAGUAAUUCCCAGAAAAUUCUUGCCACCCGUAUAUGAAUACCGACUAAUUUUCUUGAUUCCAGGCUUUCCAACUGCUUAUGAAAAUAGACAUUAUUCACCAAUAUACAAAAAAACAAAAAGGAAAUUGUUCACCAAGAAUAAAUAAAGAAACAACAAAAAGAAAAUUUUUGUGUAGGAGGUAUGAGAGAGAAAAAAAGAAAGUUAAAGUUGCACAAACAUGUGAGCAGAAACCUACUUGAUAAGAAAAAUCAAGUAAAUGAGGAACUAUGUGUUUCCAAUCACUUCAAAUAAUUUGUAUGAGCUGUGAGAACUUCAACUUAGAAACCUAGAUGUGGACACUUUUUAAAAACAAAAACCAAAAAAUGAUGCUUUUACAUUUUUAAGCAAUCAAAGGGCAGUUCUCCAUCUGGAUUAACAAGCGCAUAAAGGAAUGAGAGAGGAAAGAUUUUGAUUUAUAAUCAUAUGGUGCACCAAUCCUUGAGCAGUACUGCCAAUAAAUUUUCUAGCACAUUCCACACUGGAUGUGAUCGUAUGUCCAGAGAGAAGGAGAGAGUUAUGUUUCCUAGCAUAAUAUGCCCCAAACAAGGAUUUUUCGGAAUCUUUGUGGAGUUCUCAACAAGUUCAACAUAUACGACAAAAGUUAUGGCACCAACCACGAUUGCAUCCAAAAAUUGCUGUUUCCAAAGAGCAACCACAUUGAAAUCUUGCUCACUGUGAAAAUUAUUUUCGGAGCAUUCAGCUGCAUCAUCUGUUUCGGGCACUUUCUGAUAUACUGGAUCUGUCCCAACAUUUGAAUGGAUGGAGAAUAUAUCAACAGCAUUCCUGCUUUCAUCUUCGCCAAUUUGAAUAAUCUCGGAGUAUCCUUCAUAAACAAUGGGCUGAUGUUUACAUGAAGUGACCUCUUCUGGUACCCACUCCUUAGGCCUCUCAGUUCUUCCACUUUGGAUUGAAAAUAGCAUAAGGAAAAAAGAUAGUUGAGGAUGAAAUCUCAAUUGAAACAAAAUUUUCAUGGAUUUGAUUCAAAAGAAAAGGACAGGUAAGGAAGAGGAAAAUACAAAGGAAAAGAUAAGUAAGGCCAUCGCUUAUCUUGAGCAUAAGCAUGUGUUAGCAGCAAACCAUACUGCAGUACAGUUAAUAAGGCCUCCCAUAGUGUAAUGGCAUUGGGAGUCCAUACCUCCAAAAUUAUGUAGAGCCAAAUAUAAGCCCAGAAAGACCAAAAGAGCUCCACAAGCCAAACACCUAAAUCAGAUAUCUUUUUCAAUUCUCCAGCUUUGGGAACCACCACACAAACAGCAUGGAUGGGAAAAAGAUCGAAUGCAGCAGAACCAACAAGUGUUCCAGGACCCAAUCCUCCAGCAUACAGGUUCCCAAUGUUCCUUAUGGCAUCAAUAGUUGCUAAUGAUAUCUGAGGGAAACUAGUUCCAAAUGCCAGCAAGGAAAUAUCUGCAAUUGCAUAAUUCCACACCUUCUCAUAUCUAAUAACUUCAGUACUAGUGUCCGGAUCUAUCUCCACCACCAUUCGAGAAUGCUUGACCACAUUCUCCAUAGACCGGAAGAACCGAGCAGUUAUAGCUGAUAAUCCAAGGAAACAAUAAGCUAGGGCAAGAAAAUACAAGAAGGUCCUGAACCCAUUACCCAGGGCUGUUUCAGCAUGAAAAAGCAAGUAGCUUUCACAUCUUUCACGCCCCAAGAUAUUGAGAAGCCCAAAUCUGCUCGUUGCGCUUGGAUUUUGCGUCUCCAAGACCAUCUGAAUAGCCUUGAAGUCGCAAUUCACGCCCAAGGAAUCAGUAACACAGAACAGUAACAAUAUCUGCUAGAUGACACAACGUAAGGUUAGAGCUAAGUGAACCAUUCAAUAGCAGGAUUAGAACUUUGUCCACACGUUACAGGCUUACAGCCAUUGUAGCUUUUUCUCCACAAACGACAUAUACAUCACAGCACAAAUUGAAAUUUAAAGCAAAACCGAUCAGGAAAUGAAUCCGACACCGUAUCUAUCUAUUUAACAUAAUCGCAGCACGAAUCAUAAAAUUCAAGACUCGGGAGUAGUUUGAGCGGGCCACACGAGGGAAAAUAUAUAGAAAAAGAAGCUUAGAUUCAAAAUAUUUAAACAAAGAAACUGACCAAGCUGAAUUCACCGGAGCUCAGGAGUACCGCGUGUGUUUUCACUGAAUUUCGGGCUUGGCAAUACCACGAGAUUGGGAUUUGUGUGUUUUGGAACCAAAUGCGAAUGUAAUAACUUUUCGCAGGAGAUGCAAUUAUAAGGCGUCUGUUGUCCACGAGAACAUUGAGAUCAGGAGCAUGUUUGCUUUGACACAGGAAGAAGACGCAUUCCAGAUUAUAGCUCCGCGAACCAGUUUUUAAUUAAGUGGUGGAGAUUAAUCUCUUAAAUCGUUAAACCAUCA
This 3277-nucleotide unclassified non-coding RNA is filed under the name Hevea brasiliensis (rubber tree). Lineage: Eukaryota; Viridiplantae; Streptophyta; Magnoliopsida; Malpighiales; Euphorbiaceae. The record is from RNAcentral.